Molecule: ribosomal RNA, 686 nt
Filed under: uncultured beta proteobacterium
Lineage: Bacteria; Pseudomonadati; Pseudomonadota; Betaproteobacteria
Description: bacterial SSU rRNA
Rfam family: Bacterial small subunit ribosomal RNA
Source: RNAcentral
GGCAUGCCUUACACAUGCAAGUCGAACGGCAGCGCGGGAGCAUCCUGGCGGCGAGUGGCGAACGGGUGAGUAAUACAUCGGAGCGUGCCCAAUCGUGGGGGAUAACGCAGCGAAAGCUGUGCUAAUACCGCAUACGAUCUACGGAUGAAAGCAGGGGAUCGCAAGACCUUGCGCGAAUGGAGCGGCCGAUGGCAGAUUAGGUAGUUGGUGAGGUAAAGGCUCACCAAGCCUUCGAUCUGUAGCUGGUCUGAGAGGACGACCAGCCACACUGGGACUGAGACACGGCCCAGACUCCUACGGGAGGCAGCAGUGGGGAAUUUUGGACAAUGGGCGAAAGCCUGAUCCAGCCAUGCCGCGUGCAGGAUGAAGGCCUUCGGGUUGUAAACUGCUUUUGUACGGAACGAAACGGCCUUUUCUAAUAAAGAGGGCUAAUGACGGUACCGUAAGAAUAAGCACCGGCUAACUACGUGCCAGCAGCCGCGGUAAUACGUAGGGUGCAAGCGUUAAUCGGAAUUACUGGGCGUAAAGCGUGCGCAGGCGGUUAUGUAAGACAGUUGUGAAAUCCCCGGGCUCAACCUGGGAACUGCAUCUGUGACUGCAUAGCUAGAGUACGGUAGAGGGGGAUGGAAUUCCGCGUGUAGCAGUGAAAUGCGUAGAUAUGCGGAGGAACACCGAUGGCGAAGGCA